CCUUGAAUAAAGCCUUUGCCUUUCAAACUCUGUCCUGCCCAUUUUUCUUUGACAUGUUCAGAUGUUGGCAAGGCUGAAAACUGCAGGGGAUCUGGUUGUGAUAAUCCAGGCCUGAAUAUACAAAUAUGAACAAGACCCACAAGGACUGCUCGUCACCCCAGUAUUCCAUUUACAACAUCAUGAACGAACUCCCAAUCAGGCCUAUAUCUCUGUCUUGCAGCCAAAUAUCCCGCUUACUCCUGGUAUCUACCUGGUCAGCAACCUCCUGAGUUAUCUCCCAGUGACAAACCAUCCCAAAGUUGCACCAGUCCAGCACAAAGUAUGACUGUCAAUCUCACAAAAGAUGUAGGGUUCUAGGAGGAUACUCAGAGUAUAAGAAUUACGCUAAGUGAAAUAAGCCAAGCCCAGAAAGACACAUACUUUAUUAUUUCAUGUAUCUGUGGAAUCUAAAAGAGUCAAAUUCAUGGCAGCAGGGAGAGGGCUGAGGAAGGGGGAGAUGUUGAUCAAAGUUUCUAUGUAUACAAAGGCCAAAGCAUCACAUUAUGCCUCAUAAAUAUAUACAAUUAUUAUUUGCCAAUUACAAGUAAAGCAAUAAAAGAAGAAAAAAAGGAAUCAUAAGUAAAUCCAUGACAAGUGAAAAUGCAAUGGAGAGAAGGGAAUCAAUGAUUGAAGAGAAAGG
Molecule: non-coding RNA, 679 nt
Filed under: Pongo abelii (Sumatran orangutan)
Lineage: Eukaryota; Metazoa; Chordata; Mammalia; Primates; Hominidae
Source: RNAcentral